AUCAAUGAACCCGAUGUCUCCGGUGUGCAACCACCCGUCUACGAUCGUUCUCUUUGUUGCUUCCGGAUCGUUAAGGUAACCUAUGAUCAAUUUUCACCACCGGAACUUUUUAAUUUUUUUAUCUCAGGUAAAACAGUAAAAGAAUUAUUAACAAUUCAGAAUUUCAGAUCUAUGAUGAUCUUCGAUAUUCUACUGACCUUUCAUGAUCUGGUCACCGCGAAUGCAGAUCUCACCGCGUUGAUUCCGAGGAAGAGAAGCAUUCGUGUCUGGAUCGACGAUCUUCAUCUCGGCAUUACGGACUACUGUGCCACAUGCCCCUGAUUUGAUCUCGAAUGGCUCUUUGGCGAAAGCCAAACACAUCGC
This 363-nucleotide long non-coding RNA is filed under the name Lactuca sativa (garden lettuce). RNAcentral describes it as "long non-coding RNA (LSAT_LNC004869)". Lineage: Eukaryota; Viridiplantae; Streptophyta; Magnoliopsida; Asterales; Asteraceae. The record is from RNAcentral.